Molecule: non-coding RNA, 111 nt
Organism: Acanthosepion pharaonis
Lineage: Eukaryota; Metazoa; Mollusca; Cephalopoda; Sepiida; Sepiidae
Source: the annotation of a GenBank genome assembly
UUAUGGCCAUAUCACAUUGAAACACCAGCUCAUACAAUCACCAAAGUUAAGCAAUGUUGAACGUAGUCAGUACCUAGAUGGGUGACCCCUCAGGAAUGCCAGGUGCUGUAG